Molecule: ribosomal RNA, 253 nt
Filed under: uncultured bacterium
Lineage: Bacteria
Description: partial 16S ribosomal RNA
Rfam family: Bacterial small subunit ribosomal RNA
Source: RNAcentral
UACGUAGGGGGCAAGCGUUGUCCGGAAUUAUUGGGCGUAAAGCGCGUGUAGGCGGCCAGCUAAGUCCGCUGUGAAAUCUCGAGGCUCAACUUCGAGCUGUCGGUGGAAACUGUCUGGCUAGAGUCCGGAAGAGGAGAAUGGAAUUCCUGGUGUAGCGGUGAAAUGCGCAGAUAUCAGGAAGAACACCCGUGGCGAAGGCGGUUCUCUGGGACGGUACUGACGCUGAGACGCGAAAGCGUGGGGAGCGAACAGG